This 682-nucleotide long non-coding RNA is filed under the name Monodelphis domestica (gray short-tailed opossum). Its description in RNAcentral is "lncRNA (ENSMODG00000033135.2)". The record is from RNAcentral. Lineage: Eukaryota; Metazoa; Chordata; Mammalia; Didelphimorphia; Didelphidae.
ACAUUCCAAAUGAACAUAGUUCAACUCUAGCUGCACAAGUUACAGAUUCCCUAGGUUACUAAAAAGACCUGAUGUUUUAUUCCUCCAACAGAAGCUCUUAAAAAUUAAAGAAGCUCAAAGAAAAAGAAACAGUUAAUGGCAUAGAGUGAUUCCAAGUGAAAGAACAAAAUCUCUUCAACCUAUUCUCUCCAAACACCAGGUUGACUCUUCUCUGAAGAGGGUCCUCUGCUUUGAAUGACAUGACAGAUUUAUAUUUUGUCAACAAUGCAUUCAUCUGUGGAUUUUAUGCAAGCUUUUGCCCGCUUCUCUGCUAUCCAUUCAAAAGAAAAGCCUCACUGCUGGGCCUAAUUAUCCAUACCUGGGCAAUAUCAUUCACUUGAUAGCUGCCACCUGAAGUGAAAGCAGUUUCUAAGAAAAAUGAACCAGCCUCUCUAGAGCUUGCCUACAGCCCCAAACCAUAACAAGGGACAUAAAUGUUAGAACUGCAUUUAAAAAAAAAGAAAGGAAGAGAAAGAAAAUUAAAAGACCUGUUACCUGAAAAUUCAUUCUUCAAAGUAAAAUUUUGUCAAUCUUACUGCUAAAAGAGUUAAUGCAAAUUUCCUUUGAGCAACAACCUCUUCUUCUAAUGCAUAGGAAAGGAUAUAUAAAUGUUUUGUUUCCAUACAACUGCUUAGGAACCUAU